This 484-nucleotide ribosomal RNA is filed under the name uncultured bacterium. RNAcentral describes it as "partial 16S ribosomal RNA". It matches the Rfam family "Bacterial small subunit ribosomal RNA", at positions 29 to 507 of the family's 1533-position model. The record is from RNAcentral.
AAUGAACGCUGGCGGCAGGCCUAACACAUGCAAGUCGAGCGGAGGAAGGGGGCUCGCGCCUGGAUUCAGCGGCGGACGGGUGAGUAAGGACCAGGAAUCUGCCUGGCAGUGGGGGAUAACGUCCGGAAACGGGCGCUAAUACCGCAUACGUCCUGAGGGAGAAAGGGGGGGAUCUUCGGACCUCACGCUAUCAGAUGAGCCUAGGUCGGAUUAGCUAGUUGGUGGGGUAAAGGCCUACCAAGGCGACGAUCCGUAACUGGUCUGAGAGGAUGAUCAGUCACACGGGAACUGAGACACGGUCCAGACUCCUACGGGAGGCAGCAGUGGGGAAUAUUGGGCAAUGGGCGAAAGCCUGAUCCAGCCAUGCCGCGUGUGUGAAGAAGGUCUUCGGAUUGUAAAGCACUUUAAGUUGGGAGGAAGGGCAGUAAGUUAAUACCUUGCUGUUUUGACGGUACCUACAGAAUAAGCACCGGCUAACUACGUG